This 301-nucleotide long non-coding RNA is filed under the name Citrus sinensis (sweet orange). RNAcentral's name for it is "long non-coding RNA (CSIN_LNC000278)". Lineage: Eukaryota; Viridiplantae; Streptophyta; Magnoliopsida; Sapindales; Rutaceae. The record is from RNAcentral.
AACCUUGAGAAGGGGAAGCUACCACAACUGAGAAAGAGAAGCCUAGUUCGUCGCCACAUAAUCGGCGGCGAGAGCUGAUUCUUUACUGCAAAAUGGUCAUAAUUUAACUAGUUGAGGUAAGUAAUUCUCUAUAAAUAGUUUUCUUGUUGAUAUUCAGGGAAAAAAAAAGUUAGGGUUUAUAUAGAAAAAAUAGAUUAAUUAGUUGCGGGUCUCUCAUUACAUGUUCAAAAACAAAUUUCUAGUUGUUUUGCUGCAUGCAAAUUGUGAAAAAUUGAUGGAUUGUGCCGAUUAUAAUUUUNNN